This is a long non-coding RNA of Oncorhynchus tshawytscha (Chinook salmon), 1424 nucleotides long. NCBI's taxonomy places the organism in Eukaryota, Metazoa, Chordata, Actinopteri, Salmoniformes, Salmonidae. The record is from Ensembl.
GUUGCAAUGGUCGUUAUGAGUAUGGUACUUUAAUCAGAAUUCAAGUGGUGUAACUAUUCCAAUGGAUAAAAUGAUACAGAGGGGUUCCAUAAACAGGAAGUAGUAUUAUACAGUACAGGAAGUAGUAUUAUACAGUACAGAGGUUCCAUAAACAGGAAGUAGUAUUAUACAGUACAGAGAGGUUCCAUAAACAGGAAGUAUUAUUAUACAGUACAGAGAGGUUCCAUAAACAGGAAGUAGUAUUAUACAGUACAGAGAGGUUCCAUAAACAGGAAGUAGUAUUAUACAGUACAGAGAGGUUCCAUAAACAGGAAGUAGUAUUAUACAGUACAGAGGGGUUCCAUAAACAGGAAGUAGUAUUAUACAGUACAGAGAGGUUCCAUAAACAGGAAGUAGUAUUAUACAGUACAGAGAGGUUCCAUAAACAGGAAGUAGUAUUAUACCGUACAGAGAGAUUCCAUAAACAGGAAGUAGUAUUAUACAGUACAGAGAGGUUCCAUAUACAGGAAGUAGUAUUAUACAGUACAGAGGUUCCAUAAACAGGAAGUAGUAUUAUACAGUACAGAGAGGUUCCAUAAACAGGAAGUAGUAUUAUACAGUACAGAGAGGUUCCAUAAACAGGAAGUAGUAUUAUACAGUACAGAGAGGUUCCAUAAACAGGAAGUAGUAUUAUACAGUACAGAGAGGUUCCAUAUACAGGAAGUAGUAUUAUACAGUACAGAGGUUCCAUAAACAGGAAGUAGUAUUAUACAGUACAGAGAGGUUCCAUAAACAGGAAGUAGUAUUAUACAGUAUAGUCUAACAUCUGAACUCUCUCACUGAGGUUUGUGCCUUUAAUGUACCAGGUAUCCCUCCCUAAACCCUCCAUAGACCCUCCAUACCCUCCAUAUACCCUUCCAUAGACCCUCCAUAGACCCUCCAUAGACCCUCCAUAGACACUACUGUAAUGUCCUCUAUCAGAAUACAUCAACCAUCCAUAGACCCUCCAUAGACCCUCCAUAGAUAUACCCUCCAUCCAUAGACCCUCCAUAGACCCUCCAUAGACCCUCCAUAGACACUACUGUAAUGUCCUCUAUCAGAAUACAUCAACCAUCCAUAGACCCUCCAUAGACCCUCCAUAUACCAUCCAUAGACCCUCCAUAGAUCCUCCAUAGACCCUCCAUAGACCCUCCAUAGACCCUCCAUAGACCCUCCAUAUACCCUCCAUAGACCCUCCAUAGACCAUCCAUAGACCCUCCAUAGACACUACUGUAACCCUCUAUCAGAAUACAUCAACCAUCCAUAGACCCUCCAUAGACCCUCCAUAGACCCUCCAUAUACCAUCCAUAGACCCUCCAUAGACCAUCCAUAUACCCUCCAUAGACCCUCCAUAGACCCUCCAUAGACCCUCCAUAUACCCUCCAUAGACCCUCCAUAGACCCUCC